UGGAACGUGUAGGAACUGUCCCGCUUAAUUAAGCACAGCUUGCCACCUCAUGGCUUAUCGUUAAUUAUUACUCUCAAAGCGGCUCGAACCUUCCCCAUCUCCUAAAAAAAAAAAAAAACAAUUCAGUCCCAGAAUGUUCAAGAACCAAUGCUCUAUAACUAUAGCCUAUAUAAAUCCGGGAAUGGGCUCAUUCCAUUUCAGACAGGAACAAAAACACAUUCUUGCAAGUUGUAUCAGUCCCUUAAACCCUCUGAAAAAAAAACCAAACAAAAAUACAAGUUAUAGAAAAAUGAGGCAGCACUCACUUGCCUUCUCAGUCCUGCUCGUUCUCUGCCUUGUUGGGUUCUCUAAUGCAUCUCUCCUGCCAUUUUCAGACCGUCCCGGGAGUCUCCUGACUGAUUUCUG
This 405-nucleotide long non-coding RNA is filed under the name Populus trichocarpa (black cottonwood). RNAcentral's name for it is "long non-coding RNA (PTRI_LNC003093)". Lineage: Eukaryota; Viridiplantae; Streptophyta; Magnoliopsida; Malpighiales; Salicaceae. The record is from RNAcentral.